AUUGAACGCUGGCGGCAGGCCUAACACAUGCAAGUCGAGCGGAUGAAGGGAGCUUGCUCCUGGAUUCAGCGGCGGACGGGUGAGUAAUGCCUAGGAAUCUGCCUGGUAGUGGGGGAUAACGUCCUGAAACGGGCGCUAAUACCGCAUACGUCCUGAGGGAGAAAGUGGGGGAUCUUCGGACCUCACGCUAUCAGAUGAGCCUAGGUCGGAUUAGCUAGUUGGUGGGGUAAAGGCCUACCAAGGCGACGAUCCGUAACUGGUCUGAGAGGAUGAUCAGUCACACUGGAAUUGAGACACGGUCCAGACUCCUACGGGAGGCAGCAGUGGGGAAUAUUGGACAAUGGGCGAAAGCCUGAUCCAGCCAUGCCGCGUGUGUGAAGAAGGUCUUCGGAUUGUAAAGCACUUUAAGUUGGGAGGAAGGGCAGUAAGUUAAUACCUUGCUGUUUUGACGUUACCAACAGAAUAAGCACCGGCUAACUUCGUG
RNAcentral lists this ribosomal RNA (484 nucleotides) under uncultured bacterium. RNAcentral describes it as "partial 16S ribosomal RNA". It matches the Rfam family "Bacterial small subunit ribosomal RNA", at positions 30 to 507 of the family's 1533-position model. The record is from RNAcentral.